UCGCAAUGCCCGAAAGGGUGACGAAGCGACGCCGCGUGUGGGAAGAAGGCCUUCGGGUUGUAAACCACUGUCGGGAGUUAAGAAAUGCAAGAAUGUUAAUAGCGUUUUUGCUUGACUAAGGCUCCGGAGGAAGCCACGGCUAACUCUGUGCCAGCAGCCGCGGUAAUACAGAGGCGGCAAGCGUUGUUCGGAAUUAUUGGGCGUAAAGAGCACGUAGGCGGCUAUAUAAGUCGGUUGUGAAAGCCUUCCGCUCAACGGGAGAACAGCAUCCGAUACUGUGUGGCUUGAGUGUGGGAGGGGAGAGCGGAACUUCUGGUGGAGCGGUGAAAUGCGUAGAUAUCAGAAGGAACGCCGGUGGCGAAAGCGGCUCUCUGGCCCAUAACUGACGCUGAGUGUGCGAAAGCUAGGGGAGCAAACGGGAUUAGAUACCCCGGUAGUCCUAGCCGUAAACGAUGGGCACUAAGUAGAGGGGUUUU
RNAcentral lists this ribosomal RNA (476 nucleotides) under uncultured Planctomycetales bacterium. RNAcentral's name for it is "bacterial SSU rRNA". It matches the Rfam family "Bacterial small subunit ribosomal RNA", at positions 366 to 832 of the family's 1533-position model. The record is from RNAcentral. Lineage: Bacteria; Pseudomonadati; Planctomycetota; Planctomycetia; Planctomycetales.